Corapipo altera (White-ruffed manakin) is the source of this 1370-nucleotide long non-coding RNA. RefSeq lists it as uncharacterized. NCBI's taxonomy places the organism in Eukaryota, Metazoa, Chordata, Aves, Passeriformes, Pipridae. The record is from RefSeq and is a predicted model, not a curated record. The transcript is spliced from 4 exons.
GAGUGCAGUCCCUCUGCUUUGAUUGCUGUGCCUCUUUGGUAGGGAUUUUGGAGGGGAAUCCCAGAGCGAUUUGGUUUGAAGGGGACCUUCAAAGGCCACCCCGUCUUCCGUGGGCAGGGACACCUUCCACUGUCCCCGGUUGCUCCAAGUCUCAUCCAGCCUGGCCUGGAACACUUCCAGGGAUGGGGCAGCCUCAGCUUCCCUGUGCAGUGUGCUCUUAAUAUCUCUCCACUGGCAUCAUGAAAAAUUUUGUUAGUAUGUCCCUUUCAGUUGAAAACCAUUAUCCUUUGUCCUAUCAGUAGAAACUUUGGUAGAAAGUCUCUUCAUUUUUCUCAUAAAUCUCUUUAUUUACUGGAAAGCUGCAGUAAAACUUCCCUGAAUCUUCUUGUGGGGUGGGGUAAGUCAGAGGGACACGUUUCUCUCCUCCUGGCUGUUGGCAUUUGCUCCCUGGGCACUGGCUCUUUUUCCCACUCCACUCUGGUCCUUGCCGUGUCUGCUGGGAAGAGUGGAGAGGAAGGGGCAAAGGUGAGCCUGGGGUCCCUGAGUUGUGGGGUUGGGCUGUGCUGAGAGGGGCAGGUGGGUCCCUGUUGGUGAGCCUGAGCCUUGUCUUGGGGGUUCAGGAGCCCGGGGGACCAAGCCUGGGGGGUGUUUGCAGCUCUGCCAGGGCUGGAGCUGACACGGCGCUGGGGGAGAGCCUGGAGCUGGGCUGGGCCGUGGGACAGGUGCAGUGGAGCUGGGGGAGGGUUUGGGACUCCCUGGGGAGAAAGGAGGGAUGGAUGGGCUGGAUGGAGCCACAGGCAUGUGCUCCUGGGAACACACUUGUCCAGGACGCUGGGAUCCGGGUCAAACUCCAGUUCCCCUCAUGUCCAGGGAUGCAGGGUCUGAGGGACUGGAUUUCCCUGGGGGUUUGCAGGAGACCAGGAGUGAAAGGAAAUGUGGUGCCAGAGCAGGCUGUGUUUGCCUCUGAGGACAGAGAGCCUGUGGGCUGAGUUUGGCAGGGCUGGGACAAGGAGGACUCGUGCGGGCACCUCCAGAGACAGCGGGAACGGGAGCGUGCUGCAGAGAAGGAAAGUUCCAGGUGAAUUGCCACGAGAGGAAAUACUUCCGAGAGGCUUCCCUCCGGAUAAGCCCUGAAUAUGCCGGGAGGUUUCAGCCGGGAGAAAGGAGCUGUGGAAGAAAAGCAGCCUAAAAAUAGCCAGCGGGGAUCAUCAGGUUUGCCAGCCAAGAAAAACAAGGAGGGAGAUGAGGGAAUGGGGUUCCAAUUCCUGAUGAUUUGGAAGUGGGCUGGGACAGGGGAAUUGGCUCCCCCGAGGCCGAGGAUCAGAGCGGGCUCUGCACAGGGGACGACUUCCACUUCCGAACGGGGAAGG